UGGGGAAUAUUGCACAAUGGGCGAAAGCCUGAUGCAGCGACGCCGCGUGAGCGAAGAAGUAUUUCGGUAUGUAAAGCUCUAUCAGCAGGGAAGAUAAUGACGGUACCUGACUAAGAAGCACCGGCUAAAUACGUGCCAGCAGCCGCGGUAAUACGUAUGGUGCAAGCGUUAUCCGGAUUUACUGGGUGUAAAGGGAGCGCAGGCGGUGCGGCAAGUCUGAUGUGAAAGCCCGGGGCUCAACCCCGGUACUGCAUUGGAAACUGUCGUACUAGAGUGUCGGAGGGGUAAGCGGAAUUCCUAGUGUAGCGGUGAAAUGCGUAGAUAUUAGGAGGAACACCAGUGGCGAAGGCGGCUUACUGGACGAUAACUGACGCUGAGGCUCGAAAGCGUGGGGAGCAAACAG
Molecule: ribosomal RNA, 403 nt
Filed under: uncultured bacterium
Lineage: Bacteria
Description: bacterial SSU rRNA
Rfam family: Bacterial small subunit ribosomal RNA
Source: RNAcentral